Molecule: long non-coding RNA, 5152 nt
Organism: Gallus gallus (chicken)
Lineage: Eukaryota; Metazoa; Chordata; Aves; Galliformes; Phasianidae
Source: Ensembl
GCGGCGCGGCGCGUCGCAGUGCAGCCGUGGCGGCGGCCUGGGGAGUGCGGUCCCCGGGUUCAGGCUGGAGGCGCUGGGUGAAAUGCGUUCUGCUCCGGAGCUACGAUUCUCGAAGCGGUCGGGGGGCGUUCUUAGUUGGAAAAGCGACGUCUCCCAGAUGAGCUCGGAUGGAUAGCGGUUCUGGGUCGCCCUCUUUGGCCGUGGGCUUGUGGCAAACUCAUUUGCUGCACCCUUUCUCCUCACGCUUAAAGAAGGGGCGUUCCUUUUUUCUUUCUUUCUUCUUCUUCUUCUUUUUUUUUUUUUUUUUUUUAAAUCGGGACUUUUUUGACCAGCGAGCCUGAAAUGGAGAUGCGGUGCAUCUCACAGUUUGUGUCACUUCCAGGAGGCGAUGAAAGGCAGCGCUUUGUCGCUGCUGUGCAGCGAUACAGGCGUCUGAGUCACGGUGUGAAGUCCUACUGAAACCCACAGCGUCCCCCCCUCCACCUGGGCACAAAGCUCCCCGUCUGUAGGUAGGCUGGAAGAUUUCCCUCUGGCUUUUAUUUGGGUUUCUUCAAGCAACCAGAAAAGGGGGAAGGAAAACAAAACCAAAGCAUUUGGGGAAAAGAAACCGACACAACCACACAAAAACACGCCCCAGUGCCCACCACUGUGAAGAGAACUGACUGACCGCAGGCCUCCAGGAGCCUCAAGUAUGCGCUGCUAGUUCCCGGCCAACCAUUUGCUUUGAUGGUGCUGUGAGUGAGCAGAUUGACUUGACCCCUGUUUUGUUUGUGCCUGACAGUUGUUUCCAGGAUGAAGCGUAAGUGGAGCUGGGGAAGGGAGAGGCACUGGAAGUAAAUCAGUAAAAAAACAACAGAUUUCUCAUGCUUGCACUCUUAACCUUACAUCCGAUGCCCAUGCAAUCAAUUCAAAGAUUUUAGUUGUCUUUUGGUCAGGCCCUCCAAGAACCUUUAUUGCUAAAAUGCUGCAAUGGGUAAAGUACAUCUUAUGAGAGCUUUUUGAGACACUUAGGCUGCAAAUUUCCUUUCCUGUUAAGGAUCUCAUUGCUGCCACAGUGCGAGAGAGGAUGAAGCAUAUUUCAACAGAUGGAAUGUUCUUCAAGUGAGCUGUUUCAGUUUGAUUGUGGGUUUUUUUUUUCCCCCUAUGUUUACUCUAACCCUAUUACUUGCACUUCUGUUGGCAUCUACUGCAAAAAUGACUGCAAUGUCUACAUUUGGUUUUCAAGUUCUGUGUUUUAAGACACCCCGCAGUUUAAGUGAAUAUAGGGAUAUCUGUAUACUAAGCUCCUUUUAGUGCAUGCCAUUGCCCAGGUCAGCAUUUGCAGCUUCUUUGUGCUCUGAGUUGUAUAUCAUAAUCGAUGAAAGCACAAACCAACCAGAUCCAAGAAGCGUGGAGUUACACUUGCUGUGAAGUGUCAUUGGCAAAUGCCAUCUGCCCAGCAGUUGUAACGCAACUCCACCCUUCUCCUCAGUGUGCACAAAGAUGUGAGCAGCUUUCAGUUUUAAAAUGAGCAGAUAACGGAGGCUGAGUGGGAGAAGGAAAGGAAGGAGGCUUUUGCAUGUCCAAAUGUGUUGGAGCAGGAGAGCAGAGACAGAUGCUCAUAGCAGACCCCUGUGGCUGAUGAGCAGAAGGCUUGUCCUGCAGGGAAAGGUCAGGUGGAGAGGAAGGUUCUGUGCUGACAGAAGGGAGAAAAACAAGCUCCAUCUGUGACUGUGCAUUAGGCUUGCUGGAAGGCUUGUACUGAAAUCCAGGAACCCCCUGUGUGUGCUGGUGAGGACUGGUAUUUGCUGGUGAGCAGCCUGAGUCAGGGAAUGAUGCUGAAGUCUCUCUGUUCCUCUUUCAGGCUCCUACCUGCGUUUGUUAGCCUACUCAAGACUCAUUCUACUUAUCAACCCUGAAGCAAUUUUUGUUUGUUUGUUUUGUUGGUUGGCUUAUUGCUACCCCUGAGAACUGAAUAGUGUAGGGUAUACCUCAGGCUGUGUCCUGUUACCAGACUUACAGCCCCAUUGGCAUCAAAUCCCCCAUAGCUCCGGAAACAGCACACAUCUGAUUACCAUAAUUGUGUCCACACCGAGACUUAUGCCAAUGACUCUCUUUAGUAGAGAUGCUGAAUAUUAAUCAAGAAGUUGUAGCAAUAUAUAUAUAUAUAUUAAGGAGAAAUGUGGUUUUACUUUCUUGUGAAUGUUUCUCAGAGGUGUCACUUAAGGAUUCUCUGUAAAUUGAAGUGAUCUGGCUUAAUCUGCAUUGGCAGAAUUAAAGCAGGGUGGGGCCUGUGGCAAGGUUACUGUUACACUGGUAUUUCCUAUUCAUAGGUAUAGACCAGCACAAAAUAAACAGGACUCUUGGAUUGGUAGCCACAUGGCAGGGGCUGUGUGGAUGUAAUGGCAUUAUGGCACCAAUAGGAAGGUGACUUGCUGAUGCCCUUCAUCCUUAGUCUUAGCAGUGAGUGAUCCCACUCUGUCCAUGGCUCACUGACCCUCUUGCUUGUCUUCCCACAAAUAAAGCUAGUUCAGUUCACUCAUGCUGCAGAAGAUUAGAAGUACUGGUGGUACUGAUUGAGAAAAGUAAGCAGUUCUCUUAGGUGAAUGAGCUGAAUUAUUUCCCGUGUGUUCUGAUCAGCAAAAGGGCCUGACAGGGCAGCCUGAAGAGGGAGAAGUGGAAGCACUACCUGUUUGGGUGGCAAUAAGCCACCAAGUAGCUGCGGGGUAAGGCCAGGUGGUACAUCUAAGGCAGUAUUGUACCAGAAUUGCCACAUUUGCUUUUCCCAGUGCAGUUAUUUCAGUAGGGUUGUAGGAAGAUGUCAUUUCUCACAUACAGCUUUUUGGCUGUUUGUCAGUCUGAAGACUGCUGUUCCCAUCAAGCUGCCAAUCUGUGGAAGCACAUCCUGAAGCCCUGUCAGGCAGAAAUCAGGCAGGAUGGUUUGAAUGGUAGGUCUGAGUUUGAAUACUUGGUCUGGUCUCUUCAGAAGUGAAAGGAGUGCUUGCUGGAUCUGCUCCAUAGACACUUGGAUGAGGCUGGUAGCCAGCAGAAGGGCUUGGGAUGGCAAUAGAUUUUACAGCAGAUUCAGGAGAUGCAAUGUGUUUAUAGUCAAAAAUAGGGAAAAAAAAAAAAAAUCAGCUCUGAAUCCAAAAUAUAUCAUGCCCUUGCAAAAAGGAGUAUUCAAGCCUUCUUUGGAGUAGUGUUCAGGCUACUUUAGUGUACAUUUUUCAGCCCUUAAGUUGCACUAGUCUUUCAGUCCUCAUACCAGCUUGAGUUAUAUCUAUCAGCCUUGGGUCUGAGGGCAUUUGAGCAUGUGAAAAGGAGUCAGAGUACAAGAACUGGACUUUGAGUUGUGAAUUUGGCUUGCCGUCUGCUCAGCAGGCUCAAGGAAAUGGAGGAAUACAGGAAUGCAGAGUAGUAUCCCACAGGAAAGGUCAACUCAGUGGAGUUGUGGGAGGUGAUUACAUUUUUCACUUACAACAGAAAUCAAAGUAGUUUUUUUAAGUUGAAUAAAGUAUACUCAAAAGGAACAUUCCAAUAAUGUAUUUGGGCCUUCUGGAGGUAGCCCUAAAUUUGGCCGCCAGUCCAGGCUUUUCUCUUCUUCCUUCUGUCCGUCUUGUUAAUUAUUAACCUAGUGCAUUGGGAGCUACAUUCUUCUAGGUGACUCCUCCCAUGUUUCCAACCUGGGCAACUUGUCUUGCGUUAUUAGUCUGCAGACUAAAAUUGCUCCUUCAUGAGGUACUGCACUCUGGAAAGAAGCGGGCAGCAGAGUGUACAGAAGGUCUGAUCUUCAGUUUUUCAUGUGUUUCGGUUUUAAAUGGAAACUAGCAAAUGGAAGCUCUGCCUGCUGAAAUGCUGCUGCCUCAUGAGAACUGCAGAAAACUCGGCUCCAUUUGCACUUCCUACCGAGGGUGCCCUGAUGGGACUCUGGGAGAAUAAAAGGACACAUCAGAGGAAAAGCUAGAUCUGCAGUAGCUCUCUUCAAGAGCCCUGCUCAUUGGUUGGUUGGUUGAUUUUCAGAGCUGCAAAGGAUGUAAGUAUUUGUCUUUUUUUUUCCCCCCAUCACAAUGGCUUCAGAUUAAAGCUGUUUGUAUUUUAAUAAUUUCCAUAGCAACAUCUCAUCAGCAUUAAUUUGGCUAAAAAAAAAAGAUAGCUGUGCUUUAUUUGUGGUAUUACAGUAAAGUCUAUAAAACAUCGCUCGUAGAAGGCGUUUUGAAAUGUGUGUGAAAAAAGUAGAGAAAUCAGGGGAGAUCAUAUUUUAUAAAGCCAGAUAAAGUUGCUGGCAGUUGGUAGCAUGGAAGAGAUAAUAGAAAAUAGGGUUUGCUUGUUAGUUUUAUAAAAAUAUACAGUAUUUAAUUCAGAAGUGUAGAGUUGGAAUAGCAACCUCCAUAUAUGUAGCAAGGAAUAGCUACUCUGUACUAUUUUUUUCAUGUAGAUGAAUCCAUGUGGUUUUAGCAUAGGCUACUUUGGAAACCACAAAAAGGCCCUUUCAGUACAGAGUAUGAGCAUCCACAUGGGCACUUGGAUCACGGUAACUAAAUUCACACCCUGGCAAGUGUCACAAUGGAUUCCCCAAACAGCAACAAGUAAUUGCUGUGAGCUGGCUGCUGUUGAGAGAGACUCGAAGGACUCCCAUGGUGGAGAGGUGGUUAGUGUCACUCGCAGGCUAAAAGAGCUCGAAGUGACGGAAGAGGAAAUGACUCAGGGCAAGAGAGGAAAAUCAACUGAUGGCACUGUUUAUUAAAGGAGGUGGAGGAAAAAUAAGCAUAACAUCAUCAGGUCUGUGCAAAGUAUUUCCAAGUGACUCCUCUGUUGUGGAUUCAACCUUCAAGUUACACAUUUUCAGUACAAGUAGAACAUACAAUUUGAGAACGUUGCUGUAAAACACAUGCAUUAAGGUAAGUGUAAUUGGUCUGGCUGGAGGUGUUGCGCAAGGACAGCAGAGCAGGAUGGUGAGGCAAGGGGCAGGAGCUGCGUGUGGGAAGACAUGCUGUUGCUGCUGCUGCACUGAAGAAGAAUCUGCUAUAAGGAGACAUGCUGGUAUCACCCUGCUUGUACCAUAACUCGCCAUGCUGCUGGAGGGUCUGGCCACAGGACUUGUCCCAGGAGAUGUAUAGUUUUACCACACUCCAGAGAAAGAAAACCCUUGGUGAGCUAGAAAUCAGCGAGGUCU